This 255-nucleotide ribosomal RNA is filed under the name uncultured bacterium. RNAcentral describes it as "partial 16S ribosomal RNA". It matches the Rfam family "Bacterial small subunit ribosomal RNA", at positions 524 to 776 of the family's 1533-position model. The record is from RNAcentral.
UACAGAGGUCCCAAGCGUUGUUCGGAUUCACUGGGCGUAAAGGGUGCGUAGGUGGCCAGGUAAGUUCGGUGUGAAAGCUCGGAGCUUAACUCCGAAAAUGUCAUUGAAUACUAUCUGGCUGGAGGGUCGGAGGGGAGACUGGAAUUCUCGGUGUAGCAGUGAAAUGCGUAGAUAUCGAGAGGAACACCAGUGGCGAAGGCGAGUCUCUGGACGACUCCUGACACUGAGGCACGGAAAGCUAGGGGAGCAAACAGG